Molecule: long non-coding RNA, 1782 nt
Organism: Herpailurus yagouaroundi (jaguarundi)
Lineage: Eukaryota; Metazoa; Chordata; Mammalia; Carnivora; Felidae
Exons: 3
Source: RefSeq, a predicted model, not a curated record
UGUCCACUGCAAACGAUCAAGCAGGAAGUCCUGUCGGCUGCACCUUCAACACGUGCCCAGAACCCAACCACCUUGACCAACUCACCGCUCCCACCUGGGUCCGGCCCCCACGACGUUCCCGUCUCCCUGCUUCUGCCCCCGCCCCUACAGUCUGUCCUCUCCGAGUAAAAUCCAGAGUUCUGACGUGGCCCGUUGGCCCUGCCUGACGUGGACCCCCGAAUCUUGGGUCCUCACGUCCUGCUUCACCGUCCUCGCUUGUUCUCUGCUGGUCACAAGGGUCCCUGCUGUCCCUUAAACAUCCAGUUCUGGCCUCAAGGAAUUUGCACUGGCUGUUCCUUCCGCAAGGACGCCGUUCCCCGCACACCCCAUGGAGGUCUCCCCUCCUUCAGGGUCACGUUCUCAGGGAAGCCCCCGCUUUGCACUCCCCAUCCCCUGACCUGGCUUUGCCCUUCUCUGUCUCAGAGUCCCGACGCGGCCAUCAUGCACGGUCUGCCUCCCGCCCCAGGACGUCGUCUCCAGGCAGACCUCACCUGUUGCCGAAUCAUCUCCUGCACCCAGAGCGGGAGGACACACAGUAGGACUGUGACAGAGGCGCACCUCGCGGACGAGCGAACGUGUCGUGACAGCGGUCGCCAACAGAGCUAAAGAGGGAGUGGAGGCACGGAGGCAGAGACCAGGGCACCCGCCGGGGGUUCUGGAGCAGGUGAGCACACAGAGCCCUCCCGUCCCACACCCUCCGCUGCACGUGUGCUCACUCCAGAUGCAAGGGGGGGACGGCCCGAGGCGAGUCUGCAGGCGGAGGGUGGUGGCCUGCCCAGUGCUGGGCUGGAACGCGCCCCUUCCAGCUGCUGCCGGCUCACGAGUGCACGAGUGCCGACCCGGAACAUCGUUUUCCGACUCCACGUUUGGUGACCUCUCCCUGCCAGCAUGAGAUCGGCCAGGGUGGGAGCAUCCACACCCCACGAACUGGCAAGUGCCACCCUUCAGGGCUGGGUCUGUCCCCGGAGAGCUGGCUGUUAAGACCCUGGGGCCCACGUCCCGGCAGAGAGGCGGUACCGGGCAUGACCGUCUGCAAAGCCAGAGUUAAGUGCGGCCCGAGCAGCUUUACGGAGCCCCUCCUCCGAGCCUGCGUUUGAACGGGAACGAGGUGCAGGCUGUGUCCGUGAGGAGCUUCUGGCCCCGCAGGAGCCAGCCACGCCCAGAAGACACUACCAGAGGCUGGAUGGAAGGCGCCCCCACUGGGUUCUGCUCGCUACCAACGCGAAGGCUCCUUCGGUCUUGGAACAGCUCUGCCAGAAAGCUCCUCCACGCACUGAGCUGAAACCUGCCUUCUGGAAACUUCCACCCAGCACCCGGCUCAGCCUCGGGGCCUGCACCCCUGCAGUCCACGGACUCACGCUCCCGUGGCUGACGCUCCAAGGAGCGGAGAAUCCACACGGCUACACCUGCCACUGUUGCUCCCGGUGCACAUCCAGGAACGUGCUCUGGUUGCUCCCGUCUUACAGGUGAGAGAAGGCAGGCAAGCAGCCAUGCCUGAACCCAGGCCGGCGUCCUGGACUGUCGCCACGGCUACAGCACCUUCCCUUUCCCAGGUGCAGGGGGGUCUGGUAUGGGGGCCACGGGAGGGAGCGUCACGGAGCAAGGGGACCACUCGGGACAACGCCAUGAACCGUGGGAAAGCAUCCGGACGCUCAGGGUGGGUGACAGACAGGAAAGGGGUGGAGAAGAGCGUCCCUCAGGGCAUAGAGGAAAAUCACUAACACAUUUCGUUGUCUUCUCGGA